This 82-nucleotide transfer RNA is filed under the name Danio rerio (zebrafish). Its description in RNAcentral is "tRNA-Ser (GCT) (tRNA-Ser-GCT-188-1)". It matches the Rfam family "tRNA". Rfam says of the family: Transfer RNA (tRNA) molecules are approximately 80 nucleotides in length. The record is from Rfam by way of RNAcentral. Lineage: Eukaryota; Metazoa; Chordata; Actinopteri; Cypriniformes; Danionidae.
GACGAGGUGGCCGAGUGGUCAUGGCGAUGGACUGCUAAUCCAUUGUGCUCUGCACGCGUGGGUUCGAAUCCUGUCCUCAUCG